CCUACGGGAGGCAGCAGUGAGGAAUAUUGGUCAAUGGGCGCGAGCCUGAACCAGCCAAGUCGCGUGAAGGAUGACUGCCCUACGGGUUGUAAACUUCUUUUAUAAAGGAAUAAAGUGCGGCACGUGUGCCUUUUUGUAUGUACCUUAUGAAUAAGGAUCGGCUAACUCCGUGCCAGCAGCCGCGGUAAUACGGAGGAUCCGAGCGUUAUCCGGAUUUAUUGGGUUUAAAGGGUGCGUAGGCGGGUUGUUAAGUCAGGUGUGAAAGUUGGCGGCUCAACCGUAAACUUGCGAUUGAUACUGGCAGUCUUGAGUGCAGUUGAGGUAGGCGGAAUUCGUGGUGUAGCGGUGAAAUGCUUAGAUAUCACGAAGAACUCCGAUUGCGAAGGCAGCUUACUAGACUGCAACUGACGUUGAGGCUCGAAAGUGUGGGUAUCAAACAGGAUUAGAUACCCCAGUAGUC
Molecule: ribosomal RNA, 460 nt
Filed under: uncultured bacterium
Lineage: Bacteria
Description: partial 16S ribosomal RNA
Rfam family: Bacterial small subunit ribosomal RNA
Source: RNAcentral